Molecule: small nuclear RNA, 102 nt
Organism: Acomys russatus (golden spiny mouse)
Lineage: Eukaryota; Metazoa; Chordata; Mammalia; Rodentia; Muridae
Source: RefSeq, a predicted model, not a curated record
GCUCCUUUCAGUGGAGCACAUAUUAACAUUGGAAAAAUACACAAAUUAGCAUAUCCCAAGCGCUACAAUGACAGGCAAAUUUAUGAAGCAUUCCAUUUCAUG